UUCUACGGCUUCCCCUUUCCUCCCCGCCGCCCGGCUCCUACCCCGACUUCCAGCGCCUCCUCCCGAGCGUGAACUGCGCUCGCCCAUCCCGCCGCCUUCUCUCCCGAGCGUGAACUCCGCCUGGGCCAUCACGACGAUGGCGCGGCCGCGCUCGCCCAUCCCGCCGCCUUCGUCAUCGACCCUGGUGAGUUCACAAGGAAUGCGCGUUAGAUCCACCCAUCAUUGCUGAUGAGCCGAAUGAAACAAUCGACGCAAGAGAGGGGAGGAUGGGAUCGGAGGGCCGCGUACCUGGCGGCGACUUCACGGAGGAGGCCGGCACCAGCGGCGGGUCCCGCACACGCCGCCCCUCUCUCCCACUCUCGGACUCUCCCCGUCAGUGCCCAUGGAAUCACACCCACUGAUCCACCCAUCUUCGUCGGCGGCGCCGACCCUGGCACCGGCACCGCGCCGCAGUCCGCCGACCCUGGCCGCCGUGGGCGAGGGCCUCUCCGGCUCUGGCGCCGCCACUGAGGACCCCGUCCUCAUCCGCGUCCUCCCCGGAGCCGUCGGCCGUGGCGUCUCCUCUAUCCCGCCCCACCCAUGUCCUCCGCCUCCUUCCUCUCUCCCCUCUCUCUACGGCCCCCAUUCGGCUUCGGGCCUCGGAGUUGGAGAGCAGCUCCAGCCAAGGAAUGGAGAUUGCGGCACUGUCUCGUGCUUCAGAAAUGAUCCGGAUGUUCCAACGACAUCUGACUACGAUGGCGGCUUCAAGUAUAUUGCCCAAUCAGAGAGCUCCAGUGCUGUGGCGGCAAAAGAGGAGGAGGUGGGAAGUUCAAAUGGGGAGCAGGAGUGAAAUUUCAAGGACAUGGGUUGGUUCCUGCAAGUGCAGAAGGCAAGUAUGUCUUCUUUACUGCAUCCUAACCUGCUUGUAUUUUUCUUAGAAUUUACUUGAUGUAGAUGUAGAAAAUAUCUCUAAGCAAUUCCAUUUCCUCCUCUCCUCUACAUUUCUAGCUUGGCAUUUCACUUGCAUUCCAUUAUGUUUAAUUGCUGGAGCAUAGUACUUACUUUGUUAAACAAUAUUAUUCUGCUUCAUGCUACUGUGGAAAUUUGCUUGGCAUUUCACAUGUGUUGUAUGUAACAUGUCCGCUUUUACUACAAUAAAUGUACAGAUCUUAGCAACCACUAACAUGAGUUUCAGUCUCAGUUUUCGCAUAGACUAAAGAGGUAGUCUUUUUGAAUAAUUUUACAACAUGAUCUAUGUUUGAGUGAUUUAAACAUUCUUUUUUACAAUUUAUAAACUUAUUUUCUGUGAUCAGUAUUGGUCACAUAUUAGUUCUGGUCACACUACUGUGGCAGCAAUCAUUCCCAUUGAAACUGAAGUUUUACAUUCAGGUCAGUCUUCUUUUUUACUUCCCACCUUUCUGUCUAAUAACUCAUUCAUAAUGAAUGAGUUGGUUCACACAUUAAGUGUAUUGAGUAUUAGAAAAGAAAUUUCAGUCAAACUAUGAUUUGAGUGAAAAUAAUUUUUUAGCUCCCUUUCGCAAUUUUGUGUGUACCAAGAGAUAAUUCACACAUUAGUGGUUUGGGCACUCUGAUUACUUUUGAAGAAAGUGGUGCUAGGUCAUGUCUCAAGAAAAGAAACUGUACUCAAGUCAAGUGUAUUGAGUGUUAGAAAAGAAAUUUCAAGUCAUCAGGGAGCAAUGCCUGGCUCAUCUGUCAACAUGAUAGUGACAUAGAUCAUUAUUAUUGAAGUCAUCAAGGAGGAAAUGCUUCACUGAUCUAUUGAAUAGGAGUCUGCUAGAAGGUGGAUUUUUAUGCAGAUGCACAUAAGUCUGGUAAUACUUUUUAGUGGCUUCUUCACUGUACUUUAGUUAGAAUAAGAAAAUGGUUGUUUUCGAAUGACUUCUUGUUUUGGUUCUAAAAAGCAGAUUACUCCAGAGUUAAUGUUUUUUUUCCUAACUAAUAAGAUCUCCUUGUGGUUACUCAUGGAUUUUUGUUCUGUUUAGAUGAAGAUGACUUGGUCCAUUGCUUGGAGCAAGGGAUACAUGCUAUCAGGAGGCAUGCAUACAUGUUUAUCAAGCCUGUGAGAAAUCAUUGUUUGCACACUUCAGUCAAACACAUUUACUGCAUUCCCUACUUUCACUGCAUUGACAAUGCUUGAUCUCUGUGAAAUAUUGUGCAUUGAUAAUGCUUGAUCUCUGUGAAAUAUUGUUUGCAAACUUCAGGUUUCUAAUAAAUUUGUAGAAUCAAAUGAUGUUUCAUGUCUUCCUCUCCUGUGAUCAUAAUUCAUUUUGUACUCAGGUUAUUUAUUAGUUCUCAAAAAGCUCAAUAAUCUGCUUUGGCCAACUGACCUAUUUUUUUAUUCUCCAUAUGUGUUGUUUGCUUCUGUUGAAAACAAAACCAUCUCAGCAUAGUGUUCGUGGUUUUAGGGGACUUGGGCUCACCCCGAAUAUUUUUAGCAGCACCUCUGGUAGACUGUAAGCUGCCUACCCCAACUUGCUUGGGAAAAAAGGCUAUGUUGUUGUUGUUGUUGUUGUUGUUGUUGUUGUUGUCUGGUAGACUGUAAGCUGAUUGCAAGUCUGCUAAAUUGUGAGUGGCAUAUAGACCCUCAUGCUUAACUCGUGUCCUUUUCGAAUAAAUUUUCUUAUAGUUUAACUUUUAUCAUCUCCCUCACUGAUUUUUUUCACCUUUUUAGGUAUGGCAAUGUCAAAUAUGUUGAUGGGAGGCAUUGGCAUAGCUAUGAGGAAAAUAAAAAAUGAACAGAGGAAUUCUCAUGAUGGCCGUGGCAGCGACGGAGGCGGGGCCGAGCGAGUGCAGCGGCAGGGCGGUGCUGGUCACGGGCAGACGGGCGGGGCGGGCCACACCGUGCUGCAGCUUAGCUCGUCACCGCGGUAUUCCGCGUUAUCGUCGUCGACAGCCUCGCCAACUCCUUCGAGAUUGCGCUGCGCCGGGUGUGCGUUCUCGCGGGGAACAUGCCAAAAACCUUGCCUUCCACAAGGUAAUCAAUACUGCGUACGUUCUCUCUCCCUCACUCAAUGUUGGAAUGUUAAUUUGCUUCCUGCUAUGCAAAUGUGUGUUAUUGCAAUAUAAUAUUUGAUUGUCAAAUACAAAGUGAUGUUCUUUCCUUGUUGCAUUGAGCCAUUGCCUUUGUUGAGUUGCUGAGCAAUUCACCUGUAGAUCAAGAUAUGUUAGGAUGUCCAAACCAAGUUAUGUUAUGUUGUCCAAAUCAAAAUAUGUUAUAAUGUCCAGUAAUAGUGUGGUGCUUUGUAAAUGACAGAUGGUGUUAUAUGUCAUUUUUUUGCUGUUAUCUAUAAUUCUGUAGCAUAGUUUCCUGGACUGAUAGCUUGGCAUUUUUUUAAUGCACCCUUGGAAAAUUUAUCAUGUUUUAUCAAGAUAAAAUAACAACUUAACUUUAAUAGUGCUAUUUGUAGUGUUUGUUUCAACUUUGUGACUAGCCUAUUUUCAUGUAGACUCUUUUUGGAUUUGUAAACUUCAAGCCCUCCCAUUCAAUUAAUGUAAAUUAUCGCCCAAUUCUGGAUCCUUGCUUGGAAGCUUUAGCAGCUGGUAUAUAUAUGCACUGAUGCUUAUUAUUAUUAACUGCAAUUAUAUGUCGUUUAAUGAAGUGGUUGUCCAAAAUCUUUGUUGGAAAGGGGUAACCAUGAUACAGUGCAUAUGAAGUGGUUGUCCAAAAUCCAAAUCUAGAGGUGCAGUGCUGGUUGGUUUUGAAGCAACUGCAACACAUUGAAAUGGCACUACACAUUCUGAUACUGCUUGCCUUUUUAUUAAUGUACUUUCCAUGCCUUUGGUGGAAGGAUUGAUCCUGAAAAGUUUAGAUACAAAGAACCUAAGUAUUUUCCUCAUAUCUUCACAACGGAAUAUCUGAAAUCUCAAUUGUGAAGUUUUGCUGAUAAAUAACCAUUAUACCUCCUUUGGCUUACUGUUUUAGAUAUAGAUGGUUUAUGUUUCUCCUUUUUAUUUUAAAUUUCAUCACAAUUUGUUUGCAUAGUAGAAUCUAUAUAUAUAUACUAUAAGGAACCAAAACAAUGGGAAAAAUCCAUGUUGAUGGGGAGCUGCAUUAGCGUGGGGCUCUCCUCGACACCACUCUGCAGGAGACCGAUGCCAGGCUAUGAUGUGUUUGAGGGAUGAGGACAACGUUGGUGGCGCAUUGUGUCUAUUGUUCGUUUGGGUGAUCCAAUCCUAUAUUCUGUUUCAUUUGGCAUUCACAACUUGGUGUUUGCGUAUUGGAUUAACUACAAAUGAAGCUCAGCAAGGAGCGGAGCACUGAUGCAGCCAUCCAACAAGUUAGCAGGAGACCUGCACAUGGUGUCCUCUCUAAGAUCCUUCUGUUCUGGCUAUUCUUUGUAGAAAUUGAUCAGCUCAGUGCAGCUCCCUAUAGAAUACUACAGCUUUUGAACCUUUUCUAUAGGAAGAUAAGAGUAUUUAGGUGAAGUAAGGGAAACGGUCUAUUUGAGAUCUUUAUCACUGAUCAUAAGAUAUAUUGGCUUGUGAUUUCUUCAUUAUCUGGUAUGUCAUAGCUUGGUCAAUUUCUUGCAAAUAGUAACUUAGCACUUUUUUGUGUUGAAACUUUUAGCUGGUUAUUGUUUAGAAAUUGAAAGAUACUCAUGGGUUUACGUAUUAGUUUUAAUAUGAAAAUAAUGCUGGUCUAACCACAUGACAAUGGCAGGCUUCUUCGCUUCCGUUGCAAGGGAAGAAAAUUAAGAGAAGGAUAUAGAUCAAUAUCAGUUUUGUUGCCAUGGUCUCGCCUGCCACCCUGCAGGCCUGCACCCAAUUUUCAGUUUUGAGCAAUUUUGAAGUUUAUAGCAUUCAUGCCAAAUUAUAAUCACUUUAUGUGAUCUCUCGAUCAGUGUUAUCAAGUUUCAAUUUUAUGGACCAGUGUUAUCAAAAGUUUUCUUUUGUCAGUGGUAAUGGACAUUUAAUUCUCCCGAUGUGGAUGUUAUUGUCCAGUUUAGCAAUUUCACAUGCUAAUAUCAAUCAAAUUUUAAUUUUGGGUUACUGAGACGUUCAAUUUUUUAUUUGCAAAUAAGAUGAACAAUUCAUUUUCUGACAAAAACAAUAUGAAAUAUGGGUAUAAAAUCAAUCGGCAGAACUAAUCUCCGGGGUGUAUUUCAUGAAAUUUGGGUGACCACAUCUCUUUUUACUACAAUCGAUAUACUUUAAAGAGAUGUCAGCUAAAUUUUAUACUCCCUCCUUUUCUACAUGAAUAUUGUUUAGCUUAGUUAUCAAUUUAUUUUUAUAAUUGAGGAAGAUGGGCCUUAACUCAAAAUUACUAUCCAAGGUUUACUUUAAAACAAAUACCACAUGAUCUGAUUACCUAAGGUUACCCUGAAUUUGAGCAGCAGCCCUGCCCUCGUGAAGGAAGUGUAAGCUGUGUUGGCCCUGGCCGCCCGGUGAAGGAGCUUGGUCACCACCGGAGACGAGGACUACAAGUGGGGCAUUGACUAAAGUGAUCAGCCUGCGAAUGGAAUUUGUGAUUUUUGUGCUUCGCCUGAGGAAUAGCAGUGAAAAUGUGAAAUCGAUAGAGGAAGAAGGUGAUUUGCAUAAUAGGAGAGGAUGUUCAUAGGAAAGAAAUACCUCAUUUCAUUUUGCUCUUUUAACGAUUUCACAUGUCAUUUAAUCAAUCCACACUAUUUUUGUUUUGGAGCUGGCCAGUGAUAAAUGCAUACUGUUUUCAUGGCAACAUUUCUAGCCCGCUGUCUAUAUUAUGAAGCUGGUUUUCCUGUUGCUUGAUUGCGUUGUGAACAUCUUUAGGGGAUAUCGAAUCUCUGCCAUUUAUCAAAGAUUUCAUGUCAAUUGUCCUAUACUAUCAUGUAGUGGGAACUUCAUAUUCUUGUGACAAUGCUUCUCAAGUUAGCACCUGAAAUUGAUGAACCUUUUUUCCUUGUGGUAACUUAUUUACUUUGUUCUCCCAUUUUCCUGUGCAGAAUUUUAGAGAGUAAAAGAACUGAGCCAUGACAGUAGGAGUCCCAGCAAUACUGUCUCAACAUACCAACAAGCUAAAGUUAAUUUCCUGAUAUUGUGACUGAGUAGAGAUGUCUGGGAAAUUGGUACUCAAUAGUCAAUGCUCUUUUUAACAUCCAGAGUGAUUGGUAGUAAUAUUUGAGAAACUUGGAGCCACUGACACUUAUAACAUGUCUUUGGAUAAAGCUGGGAUGGGAAUAAUAAUAGCAUUACUUGAAACUAGAAGUAGUAAUAGCAUAACUUGAAACUAGGAGUAGUACCAGCAUAACUUGAAGUUCUUUCAGCAAGAGUGGCAGGUCCAAAUUUGUCCUAUCUCGUGUGAUUAGUGUAGUCUAAAAAUUUUUGCCAAGCAUUUAAACUAAAGGUUGGCACGCAGGCAAUAAUAUAAACAAAAAACUAAGUUAUAUGGAUUUAAGGGACAGUUUUGAAAUUAGGAAGUAAAUGGGAAUUAGUAAUUAAAUAUUGUGCAAGAGUGAUGUCAUCAAGAUAUAAUUAAGAAAUAAUUAAAUAAAUAAGUAAAACAGGUAAUGUAGGCAAGAAUUAUAUUUUAUAUUAUAGUUGAAAUAAAAGAUGAUAGAUUUUACCGAUCAAAGACAGAUAGUGCAGCUCACAAGAUUUCUAAAAUUUGAAUAUAAUUGAAUACAUCGAACAUCAAAAUUGUUUUGCUAAAAGAAAAAUUCAUGUCUACUCCAUAGGCAUGACAUUAAUGGGUAUUGAAC
This is a long non-coding RNA of Panicum virgatum (switchgrass), 6674 nucleotides long. RefSeq lists it as uncharacterized. The record is from RefSeq and is a predicted model, not a curated record. The transcript has 4 exons. NCBI's taxonomy places the organism in Eukaryota, Viridiplantae, Streptophyta, Magnoliopsida, Poales, Poaceae.